RNAcentral lists this long non-coding RNA (736 nucleotides) under Homo sapiens (human). RNAcentral describes it as "non-protein coding lnc-SRCIN1-1:4". Lineage: Eukaryota; Metazoa; Chordata; Mammalia; Primates; Hominidae. The record is from RNAcentral.
UUUGAGGCAGCUACCAGAAGGGAGCACCAAGCAGAUGCAGCUCCCCUUCCCUCCCAUUCCACCAUCCACUGUCCCCAGCAAGAACCUGCGGGAGGGUGGCCCAAUGGGGAGAAAACUAAGGAUUCGGUGUUGGGACCACUCCUGCCCUGACCUGCCCUGUGACUCCGUCAUACUCUCCAAAGGCCAGACCCUCCUAGACCAGCUGGAACCACCAUCAAGAUGUCCCCAGCCAUGUCAGACUCUGGGGCCCCAGGCGGAGGGCAACCAGAUGUCUUCAGCUCCAAGUCUGGCCUCUCCUCCCAGCAAGCAGCCAACUGCAGAGACCUUGGAAAGGAUCAACCAUAUACAAUGUCCAUUUCCUGCCCUCUAACCUGGCAGGGGAGCAAGGCCCAGCCAAGGAGUUACAGAAACUGAGGCUUGGCCAGGCGUGGUGGCUCACACCUGCAAUCUCAGCACUGGGAGGCCAAGGUGGGCAGAUCGCUUGAGCCCAGGAGUUUGAGACCAGCCCGAGGAACAUGGCGAAACCCCAUCUCUACAAAAAAUACAGAAAUUAGCCAAGUGUGGUGGCACGUGUCUGUAGUUUCAGCUACUCAGGAGGCUUAGGUGGGAGGAUCACCUGAGCCUGGGAGGUAGAGGUUGCAAUGAGCAGAGAUUGCUCUCCAGCCAGGGAGACAGAGUGAGACCCUGUCCCAAAAUAAAUAAAUAAAUAAGAAUAAAAUUUAAAAAAGAAACUGAG